RNAcentral lists this ribosomal RNA (711 nucleotides) under Calybites phasianipennella. Its description in RNAcentral is "SSU rRNA". It matches the Rfam family "Eukaryotic small subunit ribosomal RNA", at positions 486 to 1152 of the family's 1831-position model. Lineage: Eukaryota; Metazoa; Arthropoda; Insecta; Lepidoptera; Gracillariidae. The record is from RNAcentral.
CGGGACUCUUAUGAGGCCUCGUAAUCGGAAUGAGUACACUUUAAAUAUUUUAACGAGGAACAAUUGGAGGGCAAGUCUGGUGCCAGCAGCCGCGGUAAUUCCAGCUCCAAUAGCGUAUACUAAAUUUGUUGCGGUUAAAAAGCUCGUAGUUGCAUUUGUGCGCCGCGCUGUCGGUGCACCGCAUCCGCGGUGAUACUGACACGUUUGCGGAGCAUAUCGUCGGUGAGCCGCCGGUAAAACGGCGACUCAAUAUCAAAAUCCUAUCGCGGUGCUCUUCAGUGAGUGUCGAGGUGGGCCGACAAUUUUACUUUGAACAAAUUAGAGUGCUCAAAGCGGGCUCAAAAUGCUGCUUGAAUAUUUCGUGCAUGGAAUAAUAGAAUAUGAUCUCGGUUCUAUUUUGUUGGUUUUCAGAACUCCCGAGGUAAUGAUUAAUAGGGAUAACUGGGGGCAUUCGUAUUGCGACGUUAGAGGUGAAAUUCUUGGAUCGUCGCAAGACGAACAUCAGCGAAAGCAUUUGCCAAAGGUGUUUUCAUCAAUCAAGAACGAAAGUUAGAGGUUCGAAGGCGAUUAGAUACCGCCCUAGUUCUAACCGUAAAUAUGUCAUCUAGCGAUCCGCCGACGUUACUAAAAUGGCUCGGCGGGCAGCUUCCGGGAAACCAAAGAUUUUGGACUCCGGGGGGAGUAUGGUUGCAAAGCUGAAACUUAAAGGAA